UGGGGAAUAUUGGACAAUGGGCGAAAGCCUGAUCCAGCCAUGCCGCAUGAGUGAAGAAGGCCUUUGGGUUGUAAAGCUCUUUUAGUGAGGAAGAUAAUGACGGUACUCACAGAAGAAGUCCUGGCUAACUCCGUGCCAGCAGCCGCGGUAAUACGGAGAGGGCUAGCGUUAUUCGGAAUUAUUGGGCGUAAAGGGCGCGUAGGCGGAUUAGUAAGUUAAAAGUGAAAUCCCAAGGCUCAACCUUGGAAUUGCUUUUAAAACUGCUAAUCUAGAGAUUGAAAGAGGAUAGAGGAAUUCCUAGUGUAGAGGUGAAAUUCGUAAAUAUUAGGAGGAACACCAGUGGCUAAGGCGUCUAUCUGGUUCAAAUCUGACGCUGAGGCGCGUAGGCGUGGGGAGCAAACA
RNAcentral lists this ribosomal RNA (402 nucleotides) under uncultured Wolbachia sp. Its description in RNAcentral is "bacterial SSU rRNA". It matches the Rfam family "Bacterial small subunit ribosomal RNA", at positions 355 to 774 of the family's 1533-position model. The record is from RNAcentral. Lineage: Bacteria; Pseudomonadati; Pseudomonadota; Alphaproteobacteria; Rickettsiales; Anaplasmataceae.